Saccostrea cuccullata (small rock oyster) is the source of this 1384-nucleotide long non-coding RNA. RefSeq lists it as uncharacterized. The record is from RefSeq and is a predicted model, not a curated record. NCBI's taxonomy places the organism in Eukaryota, Metazoa, Mollusca, Bivalvia, Ostreida, Ostreidae. The transcript has 2 exons.
AGGAGGCAAACAUUCUCUAUCCACCUUAAAUAAACGUCUCUCCUGAGACAGAAGAUUUUUGUUUUAAUGGUUGCCAUGCUUAUUUUUGGAAAGGAUAUGCUUAUUCACCCAUUCUGUUGCCGAGAUUUGAUCAUUUCUGACAAAUGAACUGUUCUUGUUAUAAAAAUUAACGUACAGGAAAAGAAAUAUAAAGGUCAGAGAAAUGUUUCAGCUUUUGUGACAGAACGCUACGGAGGGGGUCACGUGACCGCCUAUAUCACGUGAUUCGCGCAUGAGCAGAACGUUGGUUGAUGUGCAUUAAAAUUGGAGAGGACUGAUUUAGAAUAUAAACAACACUGAAACCAAAUAUUGUUUCCUUUAUGGAAGUUAUUCAAUUAGUUCGCAAACUUUUUGAUCACCCCUUGUAUUUUGAAAACAUAAAAUACAAAUUUUGUGAAUGUGAGAGUAACCAGCACAAUUUUAUUUCGCUGCAAUUUUUAAGAGUUUACAACAAUAACUACAAUUGAUGAACAUUGAUAAACAAGAUGUGUUUGUGAAACACUGAUGCCCACUAUGGCAACAUAGCGAAGAUUAAACUUCUCUUAAAUGCAAAUUUUAUGAAAUAUGAAUGUAUGCCAAUGUUAAAGGUUUUUCAUAAGUAUGGAGAUCUACAAGUUCAGGGUCAAAAGGUCAAGGUAAUUGGUAUCUAAUGAAGGGUCUUGUCAAAAAGAUUACAUAUGUGAAGUGUGGAAGCACUAGCCCUUAGCGUUCAAAAGUUAUGGCUAAGGUUAAAAAAUUUCAAGAAGUUGGUCAAACUCCAAGGUCAAAGUGUCAAAGUACUUGAUAUCAAAUGAAAGUUCUUGCCACAAGGAUUAAAUAUGUAAAGUACAAAAGCACUAGCCCUAACCCUUUAACAGUUAUGGUCAAGGUUUGCUUUUUAAAGUACAUCAAACUCCAAGGUCAAGAUCAAAAGGUCAAAGUUCUUGGUAUCUAAUAAAGGGUCUUCUCACAAGGAUUACAUAUGUGAAGUAUGAAAGCACUAACCCUUAGCAUUCAAAAAUUAUGGCCAAGGUUAAACUUUUUUCAUAAGUACAGAAAUCUCCAAGGUCAAAAUUGUUGGUAUCAAAUGAAAGAUCUUUCCACAAAAAUUUUAUAUAUGAAGUAUAAAACUCCUGGUAUCUACUGUUCAAAAGAUAUGGCCAAAGUAAAAGUUUGAAGUUUUGUGUAAAAGUAGGUCAAACUCCAAGGUCAAGGUCAAAAGGUCAAAUUUGGGGGUACUCAAAGAAAGCUCUUGUCACAAGGAAUACACAUGUGAAAUAUGAAAGUCAUAGCUACACUAAAUCAAAAGUUAUGGGCAAGGUUAAAGUUUUUGCCUACAAACAGACAAACAGACAGACAGACAGAU